AGAGUUUGAUCCUGGCUCAGAGCGAACGCUGGCGGCAGGCCUAACACAUGCAAGUCGAGCGCCGUAGCAAUACGGAGCGGCAGACGGGAGAGUAACACGUGGGAACGUGCCCUUCAGUUCGGAACAACCCAGGGAAACUUGGGCUAAUACCGGAUACGUCCGUAAGGAGAAAGAUUUAUCGCUGAAGGAUCGGGCCGCGUCUGAUUAGCUAGUUGGUGGGGUAACGGCCCACCAAGGCGACGAUCAGUAGCUGGUCUGAGAGGAUGAUCAGCCUCACUGGGACUGAGACACGGCCCAGACUCCUACGGGAGGCAGCAGUGGGGAAUAUUGGACAAUGGGCGCAAGCCUGAUCCAGCCAUGC
RNAcentral lists this ribosomal RNA (361 nucleotides) under uncultured Alphaproteobacteria bacterium. Its description in RNAcentral is "bacterial SSU rRNA". It matches the Rfam family "Bacterial small subunit ribosomal RNA", at positions 8 to 397 of the family's 1533-position model. The record is from RNAcentral. Lineage: Bacteria; Pseudomonadati; Pseudomonadota; Alphaproteobacteria.